CCUACGGGGGGCAGCAGUGGGGAAUAUUGGACAAUGGGGGGAACCCUGAUCCAGCCAUGCCGCGUGUGUGAAGAAGGCCCUCGGGUUGUAAAGCACUUUCAGUGAGGAAGAACGCCUGGUGGUUAAUACCCAUCAGUAAAGACAUCACUCACAGAAGAAGCACCGGCUAACUCCGUGCCAGCAGCCGCGGUAAUACGGAGGGUGCGAGCGUUAAUCGGAAUUACUGGGCGUAAAGCGCGCGUAGGUGGCUUGAUAAGCCGGUUGUGAAAGCCCCGGGCUCAACCUGGGAACGGCAUCCGGAACUGUCAAGCUAGAGUGCAGGAGAGGAAGGUAGAAUUCCCGGUGUAGCGGUGAAAUGCGUAGAGAUCGGGAGGAAUACCAGUGGCGAAGGCGGCCUUCUGGACUGACACUGACACUGAGGUGCGAAAGCGUGGGUAGCAAACAGGAUUAGAUACCCCAGUAGUC
Molecule: ribosomal RNA, 465 nt
Filed under: Vreelandella stevensii
Lineage: Bacteria; Pseudomonadati; Pseudomonadota; Gammaproteobacteria; Oceanospirillales; Halomonadaceae
Description: partial 16S ribosomal RNA
Rfam family: Bacterial small subunit ribosomal RNA
Source: RNAcentral